RNAcentral lists this non-coding RNA (31 nucleotides) under Mus musculus (house mouse). Lineage: Eukaryota; Metazoa; Chordata; Mammalia; Rodentia; Muridae. The record is from RNAcentral.
UGUGAGAUGCCACAGCACAUCAGCUGGUUCU